This 744-nucleotide ribosomal RNA is filed under the name uncultured fungus. Its description in RNAcentral is "eukaryotic LSU rRNA". It matches the Rfam family "Eukaryotic large subunit ribosomal RNA", at positions 38 to 633 of the family's 3401-position model. The record is from RNAcentral. Lineage: Eukaryota; Fungi.
GCAUAUCAAUAAGCGGAGGAAAAGAAAAUAACAAUGAUUCCCCUAGUAACUGCGAGUGAAGAGGGACAAGCUCAAAUUUUAAAUCUGUCGGGUUCUACCUGACCGAGUUGUAAUUUGAAGAGGCGUUUUCUGUGUUUCUGAUCAGUCCAAGUCCUUUGGGAUAAGGCAUCACGGAGGGUGAGAAUCCCGUUCGGUUGAUCAGAUUCGCUUUACGAUACGCUUUCAAAGAGUCAAGUUGUUUGGGAUUGCAGCUUAAAAUGGGAGGUAAAUUUCUCCUAAGGCUAAAUAACGGCGAGAGACCGAUAGCGAACAAGUACCGUGAGGGAAAGAUGAAAAGAACUUUGAAAAGAGAGUUAAAUAGUACGUGAAAUUAUUGAAAGGGAAACGAUUGAAGCCAGUCGUACCUGCGGGUAAUCAGCCUUUCGGGUAUGAUUCUGUGGAGCGUGAGGAGUUAAACGCCUUCAUGCCUGCAUAUUCGUGCUCUUGGGUGUACUUGCUCGUGUGGUUGGUUAACAUCAAUUUCGGAUAUCAUAAAAUGGCUGGAGGAAUGUAGCUUCGAUUUCGAUUGAAGUGUUAUAGCCUUCGGCAGAUGUGAUGAUCGGGAUUGAGGAUUGCAACGGAUACCCUUCGGGGCUACCUGUCUGAUCUCUGAUCGUUGCUUUGGUGCCGAAAGCGUGCUUACGGUUAUCAAAGUCGAUGGUUAAUAGGUUAGAACGGGUUAAAUUCGUUAAGGAUGUUGACGUA